GCUACCAUGCAGUCGAGCGGUAAGGCCCUUUCGGGGGUACACGAACGGCGAACGGGUGAGUAACACGUGGGUGACCUGCCCUCAGCUCUGGGAUAAGCCCGGGAAACUGGGUCUAAUACCGGAUAUGACUCCAUGACGCAUGUUGUGGGGUGGAAAGCCUUGUGCGGCUGAGGAUGGGCCCGCGGCCUAUCAGCUUGUUGGUGGGGUGAUGGCCUACCAAGGCGACGACGGGUAGCCGGCCUGAGAGGGCGACCGGCCACACUGGGACUGAGACACGGCCCAGACUCCUACGGGAGGCAGCAGUGGGGAAUCUUGCGCAAUGGGCGAAAGCCUGACGCAGCGACGCCGCGUGAGGGAUGACGGCCUUCGGGUUGUAAACCUCUUUCAGCUCCGACGAAGCGGAAGUGACGGUAGGAGCAGAAGAAGCACCGGCCAACUACGUGCCAGCAGCCGCGGUAAUACGUAGGGUGCAAGCGUUGUCCGGAAUUAUUGGGCGUAAAGAGCUCGUAGGCGGUCUGUCGCGUCGGCUGUGAAAACUCGGGGCUCAACUCCGAGCUUGCAGUCGAUACGGGCAGGCUAGAGUUCGGCAGGGGAGACUGGAAUUCCUGGUGUAGCGGUGAAAUGCGCAGAUAUCAGGAGGAACACCGGUGGCGAAGGCGGGUCUCUGGGCCGAUACUGACGCUGAGGAGCGAAAGCGUGGGGAGCGAACAGGAUUAGAUACCCUGGUAGUCCACGCCGUAAACGUUGGGCGCUAGGUGUGGGAUCCCUUCCACGGGUUCCGUGCCGCAGCUAACGCAUUAAGCGCCCCGCCUGGGGAGUACGGCCGCAAGGCUAAAACUCAAUGAAUUGACGGGG
This 855-nucleotide ribosomal RNA is filed under the name uncultured Actinomycetes bacterium. Its description in RNAcentral is "bacterial SSU rRNA". It matches the Rfam family "Bacterial small subunit ribosomal RNA", at positions 48 to 918 of the family's 1533-position model. The record is from RNAcentral. Lineage: Bacteria; Bacillati; Actinomycetota; Actinomycetes.